RNAcentral lists this ribosomal RNA (207 nucleotides) under Buchnera aphidicola. RNAcentral's name for it is "partial 23S ribosomal RNA". It matches the Rfam family "Bacterial large subunit ribosomal RNA", at positions 2523 to 2736 of the family's 2925-position model. Lineage: Bacteria; Pseudomonadati; Pseudomonadota; Gammaproteobacteria; Enterobacterales; Erwiniaceae. The record is from RNAcentral. RNAcentral also lists the same sequence under 6 other names.
GUGCGUGUGUGUGGGUGGGUGGGUUGUAGUAUGUUCCAAGGGUUGGGUUGUUUGUCCAUUAAAGCGGUACGUGAGUUAGGUUUAGAACGUCGUGAGACAGUUCGGUCCAUAUUAAGUGUGGGUGUUAGAGCAUUAAGAGAACCUUUCCCUAAUACAAGAGGAUCAGGAAGGACCCACCUUUGAUGUACCAGUUAUCAUGCCCACGUU